RNAcentral lists this ribosomal RNA (404 nucleotides) under uncultured bacterium. Its description in RNAcentral is "bacterial SSU rRNA". It matches the Rfam family "Bacterial small subunit ribosomal RNA", at positions 30 to 437 of the family's 1533-position model. The record is from RNAcentral.
AUUGAACGCUGGCGGCAUGCCUUACACAUGCAAGUCGAACGGCAGCACGGGAGCAAUCCUGGUGGCGAGUGGCGAACGGGUGAGUAAUAUAUCGGAACGUGCCCAGUCGUGGGGGAUAACGUAGCGAAAGCUACGCUAAUACCGCAUACGAUCUAUGGAUGAAAGCGGGGGAUCGCAAGACCUCGCGCGAUUGGAGCGGCCGAUAUCAGAUUAGGUAGUUGGUGAGGUAAAGGCUCGCCAAGCCGACGAUCUGUAGCUGGUCUGAGAGGACGACCAGCCACACUGGGACUGAGACACGGCCCAGACUCCUACGGGAGGCAGCAGUGGGGAAUUUUGGACAAUGGGCGCAAGCCUGAUCCAGCAAUGCCGCGUGCAGGAUGAAGGCCUUCGGUGUAACUGCUUUG